RNAcentral lists this unclassified non-coding RNA (230 nucleotides) under Hevea brasiliensis (rubber tree). Lineage: Eukaryota; Viridiplantae; Streptophyta; Magnoliopsida; Malpighiales; Euphorbiaceae. The record is from RNAcentral.
CUUAAUGAAUUGCUUGGAGAAGAAGUGUCAAAAAGCAUUGAGAUUGUGCACUCUAAUGAUGGAUCUGGAAUUGGAGCUGCUCUACUUGCUGCCUCGCAUUCACAGUAUCGUUGAGACAUAAGACAUCCUGAUAACCAUGGGAAAGAUUUCUGCUUUUGUUUUUUGUGGGGCUUCAUUGCAACCUCUUGCUCAUGUUUUUUAUUGAUCUUCUUCUUCAACAUUGAUUUAGA